This 400-nucleotide ribosomal RNA is filed under the name uncultured Exiguobacterium sp. RNAcentral describes it as "bacterial SSU rRNA". It matches the Rfam family "Bacterial small subunit ribosomal RNA", at positions 1037 to 1439 of the family's 1533-position model. Lineage: Bacteria; Bacillati; Bacillota; Bacilli; Caryophanales. The record is from RNAcentral.
GGUGGUGCAUGGUUGUCGUCAGCUCGUGUCGUGAGAUGUUGGGUUAAGUCCCGCAACGAGCGCAACCCCUAUCCUUAGUUGCCAGCAUUGAGUUGGGCACUCUAGGGAGACUGCCGGUGACAAACCGGAGGAAGGUGGGGAUGACGUCAAAUCAUCAUGCCCCUUAUGAGUUGGGCUACACACGUGCUACAAUGGACGGUACAAAGGGCAGCGAGACCGCGAGGUGGAGCCAAUCCCAUAAAGCCGUUCCCAGUUCGGAUUGCAGGCUGCAACUCGCCUGCAUGAAGUCGGAAUCGCUAGUAAUCGCAGGUCAGCAUACUGCGGUGAAUACGUUCCCGGGUCUUGUACACACCGCCCGUCACACCACGAGAGUUUGCAACACCCGAAGCCGGUGAGUAAC